CUCAUCUUGGUUUAAAAAAGCGCGCUUAAGCGCAAAAAAGCGCGCGCUUUUGGUGAAGCGCAGCUGUGGGCUUUUUUCUGGGCGAAGCGCGCUCACCUACACGAAGCGCCGAAAAGCGCACAAAAGCGCACAAAGCGCAGAAAAGCGCAAAGCGCAGAAAAGCGGGCUUUUAGUAUGUUAGGGUUAGGUUUUUAAAUUUUAAAAAAACUAGGUUUUAUUUCAUAAAAUCAAAGGUUUGCCUCCAGCGUCCAGCCGUCUUCUCCCAUCCCUCUCGCGUCCUGCCGUCGCGCGCCGCCGCCUGCCGUCGCGCGCCGCCUCCAGCCCGCCGCCGUCGUCGCCAGCUGUCCGCCGGUCAUCGUCCAAGUUGAGGAUGAGGUUGGGGAGGAGAUGGAAGAGGACAUUGGUGAAGACAAAGAUUAUGAAGGAGAUGGGGAUGAUGCACUUAAUGAUGAUGAUAUUUGAUUAGUUGCUUGAAAUUUGAUUGAACUUUUAGACUUGCGUACUUUAAACUUAAGUAUUUGUGUGUUUUAAUUUUUAAAUUAAGUAUUUGUGUGUUUAAGUA
Molecule: long non-coding RNA, 562 nt
Organism: Salvia miltiorrhiza (redroot sage)
Lineage: Eukaryota; Viridiplantae; Streptophyta; Magnoliopsida; Lamiales; Lamiaceae
Exons: 2
Source: RefSeq, a predicted model, not a curated record